Non-coding RNA from Notechis scutatus (mainland tiger snake), 405 nucleotides. The record is from RefSeq and is a predicted model, not a curated record. NCBI's taxonomy places the organism in Eukaryota, Metazoa, Chordata, Lepidosauria, Squamata, Elapidae.
UGGUAAGAUUAGGGCCGUGUUCUCCAUGGAGCCCAUGGGGACAGGUUAAACAGUAAAAGUUGUCUUUAAAAAGAAAAGUGGAGUUCAAACUUGCUCAUGAGAGCCCUGGCCAGGUGCAAACGAGGUGUGAAAGAAGGUCUCUAUAGAUCUUGAUCUUUAAAAAUAAGCCAGCAUCGUCUGGGAGAUCCAAACUAGAAAGAUAAGGGACAGAACACCCAGGGCAGAGACAGGUAGUAAAAAUCUCGUGCUUAACAAUGAGUGUAACGUCAAGUAAAAGUGAGAAGUUCACUAAAACAAUAAGAAAGAAAGCCCAAAUAGUGAAACCUCAAGUUAAAUACUUAGGUUAUACUAUAAGUUAGGGCCACAGAGCUAUAGGACAUGAGAAAAAGGAAAAAGAAAGCUGUG